Molecule: ribosomal RNA, 450 nt
Filed under: uncultured bacterium
Lineage: Bacteria
Description: bacterial SSU rRNA
Rfam family: Bacterial small subunit ribosomal RNA
Source: RNAcentral
GACGAACGCUGGCGGCGUGCUUAACACAUGCAAGUCGAGCGGUAAGGCCCUUUCGGGGUACACGAGCGGCGAACGGGUGAGUAACACGUGGGUGACCUGCCCUCAGCUCUGGGAUAAGCCUGGGAAACCGGGUCUAAUACUGGAUAUGACUCCAUGACGCAUGUUGUGGGGUGGAAAGCCUUGUGCGGCUGAGGAUGGGCCCGCGGCCUAUCAGCUUGUUGGUGGGGUGAUGGCCUACCAAGGCGACGACGGGUAGCCGGCCUGAGAGGGCGACCGGCCACACUGGGACUGAGACACGGCCCAGACUCCUACGGGAGGCAGGCAGUGGGGAAUCUUGCGCAAUGGGCGAAAGCCUGACGCAGCGACGCCGCGUGAGGGAUGACGGCCCUCGGGUUGUAAACCUCUUUCAGCUCCGACGAAGCGAGAGUGACGGUAGGAGCAGAAGAAGCA